CAGGGCCGGUGCAAGGAUUUUUGCCGCCCUAGGCAAAAGAAAGAUUUGCCGCCCCCCCCCGCCGGGGCCUCGCAAUGCCCCACCCAUAUGAUCUGCCAUAUGAACUAGUGCCAGUGCUGCACACAGUGUGUGUGUUUACAUUAAAAAGCCUGCAGGGACAAACUAUAGAAACCAGAACAACUUUAUUAAGCUGCAGUGGUUCUGGGGACUAUAGUGUCCAUUUAUUGUGAGGUAAAUUAGAGAUUAGUGUCACUAAUAAUAUACUAGAUUGCCUACUUACAAUCAGAUGAGGAUGAUGAUGGGCUGUGGCUGCAGUCUGGCUCCACUGGUCUGGUGUAGAACAGGAUCUCUG
Non-coding RNA from Pelobates cultripes (western spadefoot toad), 352 nucleotides. The record is from the annotation of a GenBank genome assembly. Lineage: Eukaryota; Metazoa; Chordata; Amphibia; Anura; Pelobatidae.